CAGCGCCACAAGUGGGGGCCAUGUUUAUUGGGCCUAAAGCGUUCGUAGCUGGUUCUGUUAAUCUUUUGUGAAAUCGUUGGGCUUAACCUAACGGCGUGCAGGAGACACUGCAGAACUUGGGACCGGGAGGGGUUAGAAGUAUUUCUGGGGGAGCGGUAAAAUGCAGUAAUCCCGGGAGGACUACCUGUGGCGAAGGCGUCUAACCAGAACGGGUCCGACAGUGAGGAACGAAAGCCAGGGGAGCAAACCGGAUUAGAUACCCGGGUAGUCC
This 271-nucleotide ribosomal RNA is filed under the name uncultured archaeon. RNAcentral's name for it is "partial 16S ribosomal RNA". It matches the Rfam family "Archaeal small subunit ribosomal RNA", at positions 477 to 747 of the family's 1478-position model. The record is from RNAcentral.